Molecule: non-coding RNA, 46 nt
Filed under: Schistosoma mansoni
Lineage: Eukaryota; Metazoa; Platyhelminthes; Trematoda; Strigeidida; Schistosomatidae
Source: RNAcentral
GUACUGCUGAGGAGUCCCAAAAUAGGACGAAACGGCCGUCCAAUGC